Molecule: RNA transcript, 3777 nt
Organism: Zingiber officinale
Lineage: Eukaryota; Viridiplantae; Streptophyta; Magnoliopsida; Zingiberales; Zingiberaceae
Gene name: pentatricopeptide repeat-containing protein At4g30825, chloroplastic-like
Exons: 3
Source: RefSeq, a predicted model, not a curated record
AAGAAAACCAACGAAUCGCUGGUUCCGCUCUUCCCUAUAAAUUGAGUUUGUGUUAAAAAUCUUCAAAUCCUUUUUAUUUUUUUCCUCUUCUGCCUGCUGCUUCGAUCCGCUCAUGCUGUCCAGGUUGCAGUUUCGUUAGACGAUCGCAUGGGUUCGCUGAAGAUUGCUGCCGGUUGGGAUGUCCACGAGCUGAAGCAACGCAGUCAAUUGGGGAACCCUAACUCGUGUGCGGUCGCUUUGCUUUGUUUCGACUCAUCAAAAUCAGGCUUUGGCUUCAGGUUCAUCGUGGGCAAGAAGAAAGCAGGCAAGCAGGGUUCGAGCCGACUGAAUGUAGGUAAUCGGGAGAAGACUAGUUUGAUUUCUUCUUAUGAAGACGCGAGUGGUUUGUCGCUCAAACGUAGUGUUCGAUUGGAGAAUUUUGUGGUUUGUGGAUUGGAUAGGAACGAUGGGUCCAUUUUGGCCAAUGGAUCUGUCAACAAAAAUGACGGGAAUAUGAACCUCAAGAAUCCGGUCUCAAAGACGUUGGAUCUUCAGGAUAAGACCACAAGUCCAAGGAACAGGAGGAAAAUAUGGAAUCGGCUCCAGAGAAUGCAGAAAGCAUCACAGCAGAAAGUUUCAAGUGUUAUUCCUACAAGCAAGGAUGUGUUUGAGAAAAGGAUUGCUGAAGGCGAUAUUGAUGCAGGAGAAUCUAAUGCUAAUCCUGAUUCUAGUAUGGAACACUGUAACUCUAUUCUUAAGCGCCUUGAGAAGAGAAGUGAGGAAAAGACAGUGCAGUUCUUUGAAUGGAUGAGGCAGUAUGGAAAAGUCGGAGAAAAUAUUGAUGCUUAUUGCUUAGUAUUGCGAGCCUUGGCGAGGAAGGAGGAUUGGUCUAGAGCCAGUAUGUUAAUUCAGGAAAUGACUUCUGAGUCCCUGUGUGAAUUGGAUGUUAAGGUCUUCAAUCCACUAAUAUAUGUAUGUGCCAAAAGGGGGCUAGUUGGAUGGGGAACAAAAUGGUUUCACAUGAUGUUGGAGAAGGGCAUUGAUCCUAAUGUUGCUACGAUUGGCAUGCUUAUGGCACUUUACCAAAAGAAGUCUUGUCUUUCUCAAGCUGAAUUUGCAUUUGGUCACAUGAGAAGAUUGAAAUUGAAAUGCAUCAAAGCAUACUCAUCCAUGAUCACCAUUUGCACGCGCCUCAGGCUGUACCACAAAUCAGAAGAUAUCAUCAGGGUUAUGAACGAAGAGAAAAUCCUUCCAGAUACAGAGAACUGGUUAGUGCGCCUUAAUGCUUACUGUCAACAAGGUAAAACAGAAGAGGCUGAAGCUGUGUUGAAGUCCAUGCUCGAAACUGGGAUGCCUCCCAAUAUUAUUGCAUAUAAUACCUUGAUCACUGGGUAUGGGAGGGUUGCUAACAUGAAGGCUGCAAAGCAUUUAUUUCAAAAUCUUAAAAGUGUUGGUUUAAAUCCCGAUGAAACCACCUAUAGGUCCAUGGUUGAAGGUUUUGGCAGAACUGACAACUAUGAGGAAGCAUUGUGGUACUAUGAGAAACUUAAAAGUUUAGGAUUUCACCCAAACUCUUCCAACUUCUAUACUCUAAUUAAUCUGCAAGCUAAAUAUGGGGAUGUGAUGGGCACUACUCAAACACUUGAAGAUAUGAGAAUAGCAGGUUGCCAAUAUUCUUCAAUUGUUAGUAGUCUUCUUCAGGCUUAUGAAAAGGCAGGAAGGAUAGAAAGUGUGCCUCAAAUUCUAAAGGCAUCUUUUUAUCAGAAAAUAUUGUUAGAUGCUACGUCAUGUUCUAUUUUAGCUAUUGCCUAUGUGAAAAAUUCAUUGAUUGAUGAUGCUUUAAGAGUUUUAAAGGAGAAAAAAUGGGAAGAUACUAGUUUUGAAGAAAACUUGUAUCAUCUAUUAAUAUGUUCUUGCAAGGAGUCUAGCCAUUACGAGAAUGCAGUCAAGAUCUAUCUGCAGAUGUCUGAUUCUGGGUUUAAUCAAAAUCUUCAUAUAACAUGUUCUAUGAUUGAUAUCUACAGUGCCAUGGAUAGGUUUAAUGAAGCUGAGAAGUUGUACCUAAAGUUGAAAGAUAACAGUGUCACCCUUGAUAUGAUUGCCUAUAGUAUAGUGGUGAGGAUGUAUAUCCGAGCAGGGUCCCUGGAGAAUGCUUGUGUGGUAUUGGAAAUGAUGGAGAAAGAGAAGAAUGUAGUCCCCGAUACAUUUCUAUUCCGUGACAUGCUUCGGACCUAUCAACAAUGUGGCAUGACACAUAAGUUGGCAAAUGUCUACUAUUGGAUACUUAAAAGUGGAGUUGUAUGGGAUGAGGCAAUGUACAAUUGUGUUAUAAACUGUUGUGCCCGUGCCUUACCUGUGGAUGAGCUCUCAAGGUUGUUUGAGGAAAUGAUGCGGAAUGGGUGUGCCAUCAACACUGUAACUUUCAAUGUAAUGCUAGAUGUCUAUGGAAAAACCGGAAUGCUUAAGAAGGCUUGGAAAGUAUUUUGCGUGGCCCACAAGCAGGGGUUGGCAGAUGUUAUUUCCUACAACACCAUCAUAGCAGCAUACGGAAAAAGCAAGGAUUUCCAGAGCAUGGAAACUGUUAUUGACAAAAUGCAAUCUUCAGGUCACCCUGUUUCCUUGGAAGCAUAUAACUGCCUGCUGGAUGCAUAUGGAAAAGAUAACCGACUGGUGGAGUUCCAUGAUAUUUUGCGUAAGAUGAAGGAAGCUCAGUGUAUUUCUGAUCAUUAUACUUACAACAUUAUGAUAAACAUCUACGGGACAAAGGGCUGGAUCAAAGAGGUUGCUUGUGUGCUUGCUGAACUGAAGAAUCGUGGGCUUGAACCUGAUUUGUAUAGUUACAACACCUUGAUCAAGGCAUAUGGAAUUGCUGGAAUGGUAGAAGAGGCUGUUAAUGUGGUACAAGAAAUGAGGAGUAGAGGGAUUAGACCUGACAGAAUAACAUAUUCCAACCUCAUAACCUCCCUCCAAAAGAACGAAAGUUUCCUAGAGGCUGUUAAAUGGUCACUGUGGAUGAAGCAGAUGGAAUCUCAUUCUGAGCUCUGCCCAUCAUAGAUCUGCCAGCCAGUAAUUGCGUGCUAUGAAUGAUAAAUAUGACUCUGCUCCAAUCAGAUAGGACCUUUUGUGUCUGAAUAUAAGAAAAAGGCCAUCUGUCUUAACUUUAUUUUUGCUGUAAAUGAGAAUUCUCUACAAGGUAAGCUUCAGGAACGCAGAUGUUCAGCAAGGGAAGGCUACUUGAGGAUUCGGGCCACCGUAGUGAAUGUUCAGGGAGCCUCUAGACGAUGAGCAAUUUUCUAGAAGGUGAGUACAAACUAGCAAAUAGCAGUUCUGGAUGAGAAUGAUCACACUGAUAAUAAAGCAAUAAGUACGUCCAAAAGGUGAUCACAAGCAAGCGAAACACUGACAUGGAUGAUCCCAGGGCUUAUUAAGUCUGAAUUUGAGGGAGAGAUUUGUUGGGCGUUCUAAUAUUCAACUUGAUGUUCCGUCUCACAAUCAAUACUCAGGCAAAUCUUAAUGUGUGUUUCACGAAUGAUGCAUUCAUUCGACGGCAAGAAAUAGCAACAGGCGGCAUUAUUAGUCAAUCCAAGGUAUUUUACUGAAGAUUGGUGAAGUUUAUCAAUCAAUUCACAUCUCAUUUCAUGGUCAGAGGUGAUGAUUUCGUGUGACGAUCCAAAUAUUCUUGUAGUCUAUUUCUUUCCGUUAUGGCUUUUUUUUCUGCGAUGCAAUGUGAGAUUUCGAGGGAACACUUGCAAAUUCCCUUGUUUGGGGUAUAUGUGAAUCAUUUUCUCUAAAUUUGGU